This is a long non-coding RNA of Strongylocentrotus purpuratus (purple sea urchin), 1114 nucleotides long. RefSeq lists it as uncharacterized. The record is from RefSeq and is a predicted model, not a curated record. The transcript has 2 exons. NCBI's taxonomy places the organism in Eukaryota, Metazoa, Echinodermata, Echinoidea, Camarodonta, Strongylocentrotidae.
AGCUUCCGUUUCUUUUUUGAAAUUGGGGCGUUUCCAAAACUGGUCUUUACCUUUAACACACUUUCUAAUGUUACUAAUCAUAGCGAUGAUUAUGUCGUAACAAGAGAGAUGUAAUCAAUCGAACUUGAGUGUCCAAACUUUUUUUGAGGGGUUUAUAAAUAAAAAUGUGCUUUUAAUGUUGGACUUCUGGUUUAUUCUCAUCCAAAAUAUUUUGUAUUCAUCAUCCACAUUUGUUGAAACUUAAAAAUUCCUUUCAAUAAUAUUUCACUGAUCAAGUGAUGUUGAACUUUUUUUAAAUAAUGUACAAUAAAUGAGCAUGUAUUUCUUUCACAACCUUUAAUAUGCAAUGUUUAAGUCAUAACGCAUUUUAUCUAGGCAUAUUUGGAUUGAUCUCAGAUUUUAAAUUUACACAGAUAACUAAUUGUGCAUGUAUAUUUCUGAAUUAUUUUAUUAUGUAUGUAUAUGUAGAUUGAUUUUUAAAUGUAGAUAUUUCUGUUCAUUUUUCAACAGAGAUUGGUGCAAUUAGCAGUAGGUAAACUGGAAUAGGGAGGUAUGAUAGUACACUGUACAUGUUGUUUUAUGGGGGGCAGGGAUACAGUAACACCCAAAAUACCUUUAAAACAAGUUCAAAUACGAUAUGAUUUUGGAAGAAUUUGCAAUAGCAUUUGAUGCUAUCAUUCAAACCUGUAAAAUCUUAAAGACGGAGGAUCUGAAUAUUCAUAUGAUUAUGAAAAUUUCAUUUUCAAGGGAUUUCAUGUUUCCUGUCGAGGAGAAGCUAAUUUGGCUCAGAAUCUCAAACGCGAUUGUCUAUGGUUUGUAGUCGAUUUGGCUAUUGGUCUGACUAGACGAGUUCAAUGCACUAAAACUUUGGGUAGGAUUCUUAGCAUUAUUUAAAUCAAUUACAAUUUCAUUCUCUUCACUUUAGAGGAUAUUGUUAUUUAAUCAACUUUAUGUAGGAUUGGGUCACAAGGAGGGGAGGGGGGGGGGGUAGGAUAUUUUUGUCCCUUUUCUUUUUUAAGUUUCAUUCACUCGUAAAAUUAAUUACACUUUUUCUAAUACAUGUACUUUGAUAUCAUAAUGUUUUUAUCAUUAAUAAAUAUAUGGAAAUUAGCCA